RNAcentral lists this ribosomal RNA (497 nucleotides) under uncultured bacterium. RNAcentral describes it as "partial 16S ribosomal RNA". It matches the Rfam family "Bacterial small subunit ribosomal RNA", at positions 28 to 507 of the family's 1533-position model. The record is from RNAcentral.
GAUGAACGCUGGCGGCGUGCCUAAUACAUGCAAGUCGAGCGAACAGACGAGGAGCUUGCUCCUCUGACGUUAGCGGCGGACGGGUGAGUAACACGUGCAUAACCUACCUAUAAGACUGGGAUAACUUCGGGAAACCGGAGCUAAUACCGGAUAAUAUAUUGAACCGCAUGGUUCAAUAGUGAAAGACGGUUUUGCUGUCACUUAUAGAUGGAUCCGCGCCGCAUUAGCUAGUUGGUAAGGUAACGGCUUACCAAGGCAACGAUGCGUAGCCGACCUGAGAGGGUGAUCGGCCACACUGGAACUGAGACACGGUCCAGACUCCUACGGGAGGCAGCAGUAGGGAAUCUUCCGCAAUGGGCGAAAGCCUGACGGAGCAACGCCGCGUGAGUGAUGAAGGUCUUCGGAUCGUAAAACUCUGUUAUUAGGGAAGAACAAAUGUGUAAGUAACUAUGCACGUCUUGACGGUACCUAAUCAGAAAGCCACGGCUAACUACGUG